GGUGUCGGAUGCGUACUUUACGAACUGUUCUUAGUCUUUGGAUUCCCCAAAAAACUCCUGUCCGAUCAGGGAAGAGAAUUUAAUAAUGCUGUCGUAGGGGAAAUAACACAAAUACUCAAAAUCACUCACAGACACACCCCUGCCUAUCAUCCCCAGUGUAAUGGCCUUACAGCGAACCAAUCGAACCCGAAGAUGAUGCCCAGAACACUGAUGAAGAAAUGGAGGAAAUAGAGACGUCAGAUCCCUCGACCAGCA
This is a long non-coding RNA of Lineus longissimus, 255 nucleotides long. RefSeq lists it as uncharacterized. Lineage: Eukaryota; Metazoa; Nemertea; Pilidiophora; Heteronemertea; Lineidae. The record is from RefSeq and is a predicted model, not a curated record. The transcript has 3 exons.